RNAcentral lists this ribosomal RNA (289 nucleotides) under uncultured bacterium. RNAcentral describes it as "partial 16S ribosomal RNA". It matches the Rfam family "Bacterial small subunit ribosomal RNA", at positions 773 to 1060 of the family's 1533-position model. The record is from RNAcentral.
GUGGAUUAGAUACCCUGGUAGUCCACGCUGUAAACGAUGUCAACUAGCUGUUGGUUAUAUGAAUAUAAUUAGUAGCGCAGCAAACGCGAUAAGUUGACCGCCUGGGGAGUACGGUCGCAAGAUUAAAACUCAAAGGAAUUGACGGGGGCCCGCACAAGCGGUGGAGCAUGUGGUUUAAUUCGAUGCAACGCGAAGAACCUUACCUACCCUUGACAUACAGUGAAUUUUGCAGAGAUGCAUUAGUGCCUUCGGGAACACUGAUACAGGUGCUGCACGGCCGUCGUCAACU